RNAcentral lists this ribosomal RNA (630 nucleotides) under uncultured Gammaproteobacteria bacterium. Its description in RNAcentral is "bacterial SSU rRNA". It matches the Rfam family "Bacterial small subunit ribosomal RNA", at positions 57 to 680 of the family's 1533-position model. The record is from RNAcentral. Lineage: Bacteria; Pseudomonadati; Pseudomonadota; Gammaproteobacteria.
GCAAGUCGAGCGGUAACAGGUGUAGCAAUACAUGCUGACGAGCGGCGAACGGGUGAGUAAUGCUUCGGAAUCUGCCCAAUGGUGGGGAAUAACCAGCCGAAAGGUUGGCUAAUACCGCAUAAGUCCUACGGGGGAAAGCAGGGGAUCGCAAGACCUUGCGCCGAUGGAUGAGCCGAAGUCGGAUUAGCUAGUUGGUAGGGUAACGGCCUACCAAGGCGACGAUCCGUAGCUGGUCUGAGAGGACGACCAGCCACACUGGGACUGAGACACGGCCCAGACUCCUACGGGAGGCAGCAGUGGGGAAUAUUGGACAAUGGGGGAAACCCUGAUCCAGCGACGCCGCGUGUGUGAAGAAGGCCUGCGGGUUGUAAAGCACUUUUAGUGGGGAUGAAAAGCUCAGGGCUAACACCUCUGGGUCUUGACCUAACCCACAGAAAAAGCACCGGCUAACUCUGUGCCAGCAGCCGCGGUAAUACAGAGGGUGCGAGCGUUAAUCGGAAUUACUGGGCGUAAAGCGUGCGUAGACGGUUAUGUAAGUCGGGUGUGAAAGCCCCGGGCUCAACCUGGGAAUGCCAUUCGAGACUGCAUAGCUAGGGUGCGGAAGAGGGAAGCGGAAUUUCCGGUGUAGCG